Molecule: RNA transcript, 1632 nt
Organism: Camelina sativa (false flax)
Lineage: Eukaryota; Viridiplantae; Streptophyta; Magnoliopsida; Brassicales; Brassicaceae
Source: RefSeq, a predicted model, not a curated record
ACUCAAAUAUAGAGACCACUGCGAAUCAAGACGUAGAUAACAGCUUCACUCUCUUUGUCACUGAUACUUAACCAUUGCGUUUGCAAUUAUUACCAAAGGAAGUUUGUCAGCUGAUACAUGGCGUUGGUUAUUUGCAUGCAUCAGAAAGAAAGUAACACAAAGGGAAGGCACUUGUCUAAUAACGAGUCCGGAUCCUGACAUAGUUGCAGUUGUUAAGGAGCGUGAGUGUCAGUGGGCACAUCACCGGUUCUGUCUUAGGCAUAUGUGCUUAAAAUUUUAUGAAGUCUUUCAUAACAAUCUCAUGACAGAGUUUGUUUACAAGGCGGGAUCUACGAAGCACGUAUCAAAGUUCGUGAAGUACUUGAAGAAAAUCAAAAAGAUGAAUUUGGAGGCUCGAAAAUGGUUAGCCAAAAUACCUCCACAUCAGUGGGCCCUGGCUUACGAUGAUGGUGGGCUGAGAUUUGGGAUCAUGACAACAAAGAAAAUAUCUAAGACAUAUGGUUUCAUAAACAAAGCUCUUGAUCUUCCAAUCACAGCCUGCAUCUUGCUAAUUUUUGAUCACCUGGCAGAGCUUUUCAAAUCUCAACGUGGUCUUCUUGAGGAGUGUCUCUAAAGAACAGAGGAGAAGUCUAUGCCAAACAUGUCAUGAAAAAGCUUGAGAAGUACAAGUUAGCCUCUAGAACACUCGAUGUAUUGCCUAUAGACCAGACUGCAGGGAGGUUUCAGGUCACAAAAGUGCUGCAAACUGGAAACAAGAAAUAUUUUGUUCACUGCAGCGAUCGAGUUUGCACGUGUCAGACAUGGCAAGUUUACAAGUAUCCGUGUUUGCAUGUGUUAGCUGUUUGCAGGAGGCUGAACUAUGACCAUUUGGAGUAUGUAAAUGACUUCUACAAGACAGAGAGUUUUCUUGGAGUUUAUUCUGCUGAGUUUAAUCCACUUCCAGGAGUCUCCAAUUGGCCAGAAGCUUCCGAUGUUACAACACUGUUUCCUGCUGGAAGUCGUCAGAUAUCAGUUGUCCUGCCAGUGGCAAGCGAGUCAUCCCGCGAGAAGUCAGCUAAGCCAAAUGAUGCGGACACGGGAGCGAGUGGAGGAUGCGAAACGAGACGAUCAGGGCGACCAAAGAAGCCGAAUAGUAGAUAUGCCAAAUAAGGACUUGAAUGGUAGAGAUAUUGAUAUGCAUCGAGAAAAUGAUAAGUAGUGGGAACACAGAACAAAGAGCAAGGGAGGCACUUGAAACCAUGGGAGCUUCAGUCUUCAGUGGGAUCACACUCACAAAACUUGUUGGAGUGAUCGUGCUUUGCUUCGCAAGAUCUGAGAUAAUUAUGGCUUGACGAUAUGUUCUCUAGCCAUAGAAGCCACUAUGAUUAGUUCUUGCACAUAUUGUGGAUUCCAUUCCAGCAUCGACACUUGGACAUCGAGGAGCAGCAGCAGCAGAGAGACAUCUCUCUUAGAGUUCAACGUUUGGGACAUUACUCUUAUUGCUCAAUAUCCCGACUCACACAAAUGUAUGAAUUGAAACAUCCUAUAUUGAUGAAUAGCGUGAUUAUUGGACAUCCUAUAUAUACCCUCUGUAUCAAAAUUAAACAGGCCCAUGGGCUAAUGGAAUGUUGGCGUAGUUUUCUUAACUAGAAU